This 466-nucleotide ribosomal RNA is filed under the name uncultured bacterium. RNAcentral's name for it is "partial 16S ribosomal RNA". It matches the Rfam family "Bacterial small subunit ribosomal RNA", at positions 28 to 507 of the family's 1533-position model. The record is from RNAcentral.
GAUGAACGCUGGCGGCGUGCUUAACACAUGCAAGUCGAACGAUGAAGCCCAGCUUGCUGGGUGGAUUAGUGGCGAACGGGUGAGUAACACGUGAGUAACCUGCCCUUAACUCUGGGAUAAGCCUGGGAAACUGGGUCUAAUACCGGAUAGGAGCGUCCACCGCAUGGUGGGUGUUGGAAAGAUUUAUCGGUUUUGGAUGGACUCGCGGCCUAUCAGCUUGUUGGUGAGGUAAUGGCUCACCAAGGCGACGACGGGUAGCCGGCCUGAGAGGGUGACCGGCCACACUGGGACUGAGACACGGCCCAGACUCCUACGGGAGGCAGCAGUGGGGAAUAUUGCACAAUGGGCGCAAGCCUGAUGCAGCGACGCCGCGUGAGGGAUGACGGCCUUCGGGUUGUAAACCUCUUUCAGUAGGGAAGAAGCGAAAGUGACGGUACCUGCAGAAGAAGCACCGGCUAACUACGAG